UAUUAUUAUUCCUUUUUAAAACAGAUAUUCCAAACAUUGUUAAUUGAUAAACUGUUUUAUCAGGAUAUGGUGUAUUUGCUCUUGCAUCAAUUUAAAAAGGUUCUUUUGUGGUCGAGUACCGAGGGAAGUUCAUCUCAAGACAUGAGCGGGACAAGAGACAGAAACCCUCUAUAAAUAUCUUUACUAUUUAUCUGGCAUUAUAUGCUCAUAAUGUUAACAACAAAAAGUGCUGAUAAUGUUAUAAUUAAUAAGUUCUAACAUUAUUUUUAUGUGUUUUGUUGCAGACACCAACUGUUGAUGUUCUAUCUCAACAUUCUCCAGAUUCAUGUGAGCGAUAAACCGACUUCAUCCCUCCAACAGACACCAACUGUUGGGGUUCUAUCUCAACAUUCUCCAGAUUCAGAUGUGAGCGAUAAACCGACUUCAUCCCUCCAACAGAAACCAACUGUUGAGGUUCCAUCUCAACAUUCUCCAGAUUCAGAUGUGAGCCAUUAACUGACUUCAUCCCUCCAACAGAAACCAACUGUUGAGGUUCUAUCUCAACAUUCUCUAGAUUCAGAUGACAGCCAUAAACCGACUUCAUCCCUCCAACAGAUUGACAGCAGGACAAAUCGCUCGAAGUGGGUAUGUCUCAAGCUUCUUCCACUUGGUCCACU
This is a long non-coding RNA of Nerophis ophidion (straightnose pipefish), 656 nucleotides long. RefSeq lists it as uncharacterized. The transcript is spliced from 5 exons. The record is from RefSeq and is a predicted model, not a curated record. Lineage: Eukaryota; Metazoa; Chordata; Actinopteri; Syngnathiformes; Syngnathidae.